GGAGCUCUGUGCCUCGGAUCCCUGCAGCCGGGAUGGUUUGCACCGAGUCACAGCUGGCUCCUGUAUGGGCAGUGAGAAACGGUUUUCCCCAGCCCUGAUAACGUUACUGUGCAAUGGGAGCCACCCAAGGUAUGGCCAAUGGCGACGGUCUCAUCUCACUGCAGGACUGAGUUUUGAAGAGUGACAUAGAAACGACACUCCCGUUCCCAGUUUUGAUGGAGCUGGUGGGCAGAACGAGUCUUUCUCCCUUGAGAGCAGUAUAGCCUGAGCCCUAAGGGGCAGAGACCGCUUGGAGGUACAAUGGACUGACGUUCGUGUGGCUCGUGCCCUCUCUGUUGAGGAUGCAAACAGAGUGCUGGCAUGCAGACUUCAAAAGACAGAUGUUGUCCUGCUAACGCUUCAGCUGUCCGUGUCAGUGAGGCGCAGGAGUGACACUGCGACCCUCAGUGACAGAGGGCUUCAUCCGACACCCCAUUGCACUCCAUGGCUUUUGUACGUACUGCUUUCCCCUGGGACACGCUGUGUUUUUACAGCCAGCUGAAUGGCAGCUGAUAUAAUCAGGAGCACUUCGAGCAACAAUUCCUCAGGGCUGUAACUCACAUGGGCUGCCGUGUUUGUUCUUCCCAGGGAGAGAAGCCCUUAACAAAGGCAUGGACCAUUCCGUAUGUAUUGCUCAAUAGGAUAACUUCUGCUCUCAGUUUACAAGCCUGAAAACAAAGUAUACAUGAUACCAUCAAACUGCUUCAUUCCAAAGCCUGCUGCUCCUUCAAACGUCAAGGCUGUAACCUUCAGACACUACACUGAGCUCUGAACCUUUGCAUUCCUGGGGAUGCUGUUUAGACCUUGCUGUGCUUUAGGGCAGUGGGUGAGCUCAUACCGCGGUCCUGAGAGAAGCCCAGCAGAGGAGGAAUGAUGCCAUGUGGUGUUCUGCAUGCUGCUGAAAGCUGCAUUCCCUUCGUAGCCUGUUUCUGAACCUUAAAUGUGCUCAGCUCGUGUUUGCAAGUGCCUCAUGCUUGAAGUCUCAGGGACUGGCCUUCUUUAAUUAAAUGAAGACAUACUCUUAACCACCUGAUUGCAGGUGUGAGAUCUUUAAGAAAAAUGGCAGAGAUUUGCAAAUAAACCAGGAGAGUCAGAAAGGGAAAGCAACCAAGGAUCUCAGUGCCUGUGAGCUGGUGAUGAAGCACCACCAGAGACCUUCCCCUUGCUCCUGCUUUGACCCCCUUCUCAGCGAGCUGCUCAACCUCUCAGGAGUAAAUCUGCCAACCUUACUCUUCCUGCAGGACAAGUGGCCAUUUCAGCACGGGCCAACAACAAUGAGCUGUGCUUUCAGGGUCAGAAAAAUGUGAUGCUCCUCAUAAAACAUGCUGAGUCCCAUCCCAGCUGCCUUCUGUCCGGGUGGAAUGCAAGAGGAGCCGUCCCAGAAGCAUCAGGCCGUGGCAUUGGGAUCCAUCUUCACCAAGCCUUGAAGACAUCGGGGGUGGGGAUGGAGCUGAUGUCCGAGAGGAGCUUCACGUUGGAGGAAAGAGGCAACAAACGGUGCAGAAGAUCACCUGCCCCAACCAGGGAGGUGUAAGGCCCCAUCCCUGGCAAUCCCACCUGUGCUUGGCUGUGGUGUGGUGGUGUUUUAUGACGUAUGCAACCCAAAAGUCGGAUAACACAGAAGAUAUUGGGCAAGUAC
Molecule: long non-coding RNA, 1678 nt
Filed under: Gallus gallus (chicken)
Lineage: Eukaryota; Metazoa; Chordata; Aves; Galliformes; Phasianidae
Description: long non-coding RNA NONGGAT005283
Source: RNAcentral